UGAGUAGGCGGUUGCAUAUGUCAGAUGUAAAAGGCGCAGGCUUAACUUGUGUUAGCAUUUGAAACUGUGCGACUUGAGUGCAGGAGAGGUAAGUGGAAUUCCUAGUGUAGCGGUGAAAUGCGUAGAUAUUAGGAGGAACACCAGUGGCGAAGGCGACUUACUGGACUGUAACUGACGCUGAGUCACGAAAGCGUGGGUAGCAAACAG
Molecule: ribosomal RNA, 207 nt
Filed under: uncultured Sedimentibacter sp.
Lineage: Bacteria; Bacillati; Bacillota; Tissierellia
Description: partial 16S ribosomal RNA
Rfam family: Bacterial small subunit ribosomal RNA
Source: RNAcentral